Long non-coding RNA from Gadus macrocephalus (Pacific cod), 545 nucleotides. RefSeq lists it as uncharacterized. The transcript has 4 exons. Lineage: Eukaryota; Metazoa; Chordata; Actinopteri; Gadiformes; Gadidae. The record is from RefSeq and is a predicted model, not a curated record.
GGUGCCCCUCCAUCGGCCUCUCCGACAUCCUGUCCGUCUGCAGAGACACGCGGGGCACUCUGAUUCUGUACAGGCCGUCCACUGCCGCCACCUCCUGCAGGGAGCACAUCAGCACACGUGCUGCUCGUUUCCGUCUGGACCAGAGGACGAACUGAACUCACCGACUUCAAACGAGUGCUCCAGAGGCACGGAGAACCCACUGAACUCAGUGUCCACAGCAUCUCCGACCUGAGGAUAAAGACGAGCAGACCCCCGUUAGCAGGGUAUCUGGCUCCAAGUAAAGGAACGCUUUGGGUUUGUCGUCUGCGGGGGAAAAGCGGCUUGAGGGAAUGUGUGUGAUGUGUGCGUCUGUGUGUGUGCGUCUGUGUGUGUGAGUGUGUCUGGCAUAAGUGACCACUGGGGGGAUGGGCAAGGGGGGGGGGGGGGCAGAUAAAAGGGCAGAGGAGGUCUGGGAAGCUGACAGAUUCUUAGAGAAGUGCAGAGGAGGACGAGUAGAGAGGACGACCUACCUACCUACCCGAAAACCAUGCCGGAACCGACCACUA